AGUGAACGCUGGCGGCAGGCCUAACACAUGCAAGUCGAACGGCAGCACAAGAGAGCUUGCUCUCUGGGUGGCGAGUGGCGGACGGGUGAGGAAUGCAUCGGAAUCUGCCCAUUUGUGGGGGAUAACCUCGGGAAACCGGGACUAAUACCGCAUACGACCUACGGGUGAAAGCAGGGGAUCUUCGGACCUUGCGCAGAUGGAUGAGCCGAUGCCGGAUUAGCUAGUUGGAGGGGUAAAGGCCCACCAAGGCGACGAUCCGUAGCUGGUCUGAGAGGAUGAUCAGCCACACUGGGACUGAGACACGGCCCUGACUCCUACGGGAGGCAGCAGUGGGGAAUAUUGGACAAUGGGCGCAAGCCUGAUCCAGCCAUGCCGCGUGUGUGAAGAAGGCCUUCGGGUUGUAAAGCACUUUUGUUGGGAAAGAAAAGCAGCCGGUUAAUACCCGGUUGUCAUGACGGUACCCAAAGAAUAAGCACCGGCUAACUUCGUG
Molecule: ribosomal RNA, 490 nt
Filed under: uncultured bacterium
Lineage: Bacteria
Description: partial 16S ribosomal RNA
Rfam family: Bacterial small subunit ribosomal RNA
Source: RNAcentral